AUGAAAUCCAGGAGCUUUUCCACUGGGAAGAAGUUGCUCCUCUCUGUCUUGGGCAUGCUGUUUCUUGUGGCUUUGCUGGAUUAUGGUGCUUGGUAUUUCUACCCCUCUGGACUCCGGACCUUCCACCCUGCUAUGCUCUCCUGGUUGGCAGCAAAGGGUAGCAGCAGGAGACAGGACGUGUGCGAAUCAGGAGAAUUCACACCAGAUUUCCAGGUGAGCACCCCACUGAGUGCCAGGAAAGCUUUGCACAGGACACACAGACGACUCAUGCACCAUCCAGUUCCUGUCUCUUAAGCUAGGGUUACUCAGCCAAGCAGCACUUAUGAAGCAUGACCUACUGUGGGUCAGGCACUGUCCCAAGGCAAAAACCAACCAAACAACCCCACAGUCCUUGCCCAUGAGGAGCUGGCAGUCUCCUCAUGAGGAGACAUCUAGGUGCCAAGGAGACCUGACAGGACAAAUGGGAGUGAAGCAUUAGAGGGUGUUGGCUCUGCUGUUUCUUGUAGGGCAGCCAUAAAGCCUAUUGCUAUGCCCUCCUUGAAGGCAACCCUGGUUUGGCAGGAUCUGCCAGCUGGUGUCCUCUGCUGCCACUGUCUUUGGGACCCCAGGGUCAGCUCUGCGGGCAUCAGAAGAGGGAGAAGUCACAUUAGCUAGAGAAAGAUGCUUCUGUUUUCAUUCUUUUAAUGAACAAGAAUCUAUUUUCUUUUCUUCUCGCCUCCUAUCCAUUUGAAAAACGGAAAAACAAACCACUUCUUACAAACAUACAGAGACAAGCAAAACAGUUCCUCCUGGGCCAUGUCUAAAAGAUGUAUUUCUCCUUCUGCCUUGGUCCAUCCCCUCUCUGUCAGAAGUUGCAUCAUUUGCCAGAAGAGUAGCUGGUCACUGCCUUCAACAGAGUUCUGCACUCUUUCACAGUGGUUUGUCUUUGUGCUUCUGCUCACUCUUCUGCACAUCAGUUCAUGCAAGUCUUCCCAGCUUUCUCUGAACACCACCCCUUUCAUCAUCUCUAAGAGUAUGGUAGAUUCAGUCCCUACUCCAUAAUUUCUUUUUUUCCAACUCCAUCAUUUGUUCAGCUCUUGCCAAGUGCGGGGUUUCCAGUUUUUUGUCACAGCAAGAAAAAUUGGCCAUCAAUAUUCCUGUCCAGAUCGGACUUUUUCCUCUUUGUUUGAUCUCUUUGGGGAAUAGGCCCAGGAGUUGUCUUGCCAGGUGAGUGGGUAGACAUGUUUUAUUAUCUCGGGGGGCAAGGCUCCUAACUGCUUUCCAGAAUGGCUGGACUAGUUUCCAGUUUCUACUUAGAGCACUGUUGAGUCGUGUCUGGUGAGGUGCACUCUUCGCCGCCCCAUUUGGGAAUUUUCUUGGCAAAGAUCCUGGAGUGGUUUGCCAUUUCCGUCUCCAGAUGAUUUUUAAAGUGAGGAAAUGGGGGCAAACAGGGCGAAUUAUCUUACCCAGGAUCACACAGCAACUAACUAUCUGAGACCAAGCCUAGAGUUCUACGCACUCUCGCGCCCCCUAGCGUCCCUAGUCCAACACUAAUGUGCCUGACUUCGCCCAGCCUGCUCAACUUAGGGCAUUUUGCCUGAUUGUCCUCUUUGCCAACCUGACAGGUAGGGGGUAGAACCUUAGACUUGCCUUCAUGGGCAUUUCUCUACUUCUCCGUGAUUCGGAGCAUUUGUUUCAUUUGAUCAUUGAUCCCUUGCAUUUCUUCUUUGGAAAAAUGCCUGUUCAUAUCCUUUGACUGUCUACUGGAGAAAGCACCACAGACACCUGAGGGGGGGAAAGCCAGCAGGUCAUUUUCUCUGAUUUUCUUUUCCUUUCCAGUAGAAUUGACGUCAGCUUUCCUGGGUUUAUGUUUUUGUAUAAGCCGCACAAAAUUUGAUUUUGGUCACACUUCCAAGCAUUAUUUCUCCUUCUCCUCCUUUUCCUCCUCCUCCUCCUCCUCCUCCUCCUCCUCCUCCUCCUCCUCCUUCUCCUCCUUCUUCUUCUUCUUUACAAAUACGCAAUUAAUUAAGUGAUAGUUUUUAAGAUUCACUUCCAUAAGACUUUGAGUUUUAAAUUGUCGCCCCCUCCAUCUCCCCUCCUCCCAAGAUAGCGUGCAACCUGAUAUAGGCUCUCCUUCUACAUUCAGGUUAAGUAUAUAUUCCCAUUAGUCAUGAUGUAAAGUAGAAGUAGAACUAAUGCGAGGAACCAUGAGAAUGAAGCAAUAAAACAAAACCACAAAGGAAAAGGAGAUCA
RNAcentral lists this long non-coding RNA (2232 nucleotides) under Phascolarctos cinereus (koala). Its description in RNAcentral is "lncRNA (ENSPCIG00000036356.1)". Lineage: Eukaryota; Metazoa; Chordata; Mammalia; Diprotodontia; Phascolarctidae. The record is from RNAcentral.